UUGAAACACCGAUUCUCGUACGAUUAUCGAAGUUAAUCAACGCCGAGCCUGGCCAGUAUCUAGAUGGGUGACCACUUGGGAAUACCAGGUGCUAU
Molecule: ribosomal RNA, 95 nt
Filed under: Acanthosepion pharaonis
Lineage: Eukaryota; Metazoa; Mollusca; Cephalopoda; Sepiida; Sepiidae
Source: RNAcentral